GGCAAAUCACAACGUGUUCCGUCAUCACGCUCGGGGUACCAGACUGACACGUCCAUCGCAGAAAACGGUAUACGAUUACAUUCUAGAAUGCAGUUCGCCGCUGUUUUAGUGCCGGUCAUUUUGGUCCUUGCAAGCGUUCUUAUCGUUGACGCCUACUUUCAUGGGGAAAUCUGCGAGCACGGGACAAAAGUACUCACCUGCUCUGGAACCAAGGUCAUCAGGAUCUUGAAUGCCAGUUAUGGCAGGGCGAACCACCACACCUGUCCCGGCCACGGCGAGGUUCACAACACUCACUGCCACAGUCACCAUUCUCUCGCGAGCGUCAGGGGUUUGUGCGAAGGCAAACACCACUGCCACCUCCAUGUUACUAACGCACAUAUGGGAGGGGAUCCGUGCCACGGCACCAACAAGUAUCUCUCCCUCUAUUAUUAUUGUCACUAAGAAUAGUUGGAUGUCCUCGAUGGAGAGGGAAUCGGUACCUCAGGAUGAACACCGCAGCAUCUUGACCACCAUGGUUUUUGCAUCUUAUCAAGGUAUACCCCGGCUGCCCCCGGCUACAUCUAAAUCGGGGUAAAAACUAUGAGGUUCAAUAUGACAUGAUAGCAGAAUAGAAACGACUUUUAAAGUAACAGAGGGAUAGUGGUUUGAAAUUAAGGUGGCCAUGUGCCCCUCCAAUUAAAAUAAUCUCUUGUCUGUUUCUUUUUUGCCGUCAUUUUCUGUCGCCGAGGUAACGAAUAAAACGUGAUGUC
Molecule: long non-coding RNA, 749 nt
Organism: Lineus longissimus
Lineage: Eukaryota; Metazoa; Nemertea; Pilidiophora; Heteronemertea; Lineidae
Exons: 3
Source: RefSeq, a predicted model, not a curated record